Molecule: ribosomal RNA, 468 nt
Filed under: uncultured bacterium
Lineage: Bacteria
Description: partial 16S ribosomal RNA
Rfam family: Bacterial small subunit ribosomal RNA
Source: RNAcentral
GAUGAACGCUGGCGGCGUGCUUAACACAUGCAAGUCGAACGGAAAGGCCCAAGCUUGCUUGGGUACUCGAGUGGCGAACGGGUGAGUAACACGUGGGUGAUCUGCCCUGCACUUCGGGAUAAGCCUGGGAAACUGGGUCUAAUACCGGAUAGGGCGAUGGUUUGGAUGCCAUUGUGGAAAGUUUUUUCGGUGUGGGAUGAGCUCGCGGCCUAUCAGCUUGUUGGUGGGGUAAUGGCCUACCAAGGCGUCGACGGGUAGCCGGCCUGAGAGGGUGUACGGCCACAGUGGGACUGAGAUACGGCCCAGACUCCUACGGGAGGCAGCAGUGGGGAAUAUUGCACAAUGGGCGCAAGCCUGAUGCAGCGACGCCGCGUGGGGGAUGACGGCCUUCGGGUUGUAAACUCCUUUCGCUAGGGACGAAGCGUUUUUGUGACGGUACCUGGAGAAGAAGCACCGGCUAACUACGUG